UACGGCGGUCAUACCGUGGGGUAAACGCCCGGUCCCAUUCCGACCCCGGAAGCUAAGACCCACAGCGCCGAGGGUACUGCACCCGGGAGGGUGUGGGAGAGUAGGUCACCGCCGUAA
RNAcentral lists this ribosomal RNA (117 nucleotides) under Arthrobacter humicola. Lineage: Bacteria; Bacillati; Actinomycetota; Actinomycetes; Micrococcales; Micrococcaceae. The record is from RNAcentral.